This is a long non-coding RNA of Nothoprocta perdicaria, 410 nucleotides long. RefSeq lists it as uncharacterized. NCBI's taxonomy places the organism in Eukaryota, Metazoa, Chordata, Aves, Tinamiformes, Tinamidae. The record is from RefSeq and is a predicted model, not a curated record. The transcript is spliced from 3 exons.
GAUAACUACUUUAAGAUUUAGAUCAUACACUUCCUUCAACUAAAAGAAAGAAAAGAAGGUCACUGAAAAAGUGGGAUCUAGAAAGAAGUGUGAGAAGGACUGGAAAAAAGAAAAACAGAUCUACUGGAUGGUCUUGGUGUAACCAUCCUGGAACAGGCCAGAAGGGGAUAAAAUUGCCAUACAUUUUGUUCUGCAAAGACGUGUAUUUCCUUGGGGAUUUCUGGACACUUGGAUUCUUCCCUUUUACUUUGUGCCUGAAGCACCACUAAGGAAACCGGCAGCUGGUUGGUCCCUGCCUGCUAUGAAUUCUUCACUUAUCUGCAGAAGAGUUUAGUGGCACCUUCAUUUUCUCUAUCUGGAGCUGGUAACAGAGAUAGUUAAGGCAAGGGAAUGGAUAUAAGGAAACAUGU